Molecule: non-coding RNA, 894 nt
Organism: Hydra vulgaris (swiftwater hydra)
Lineage: Eukaryota; Metazoa; Cnidaria; Hydrozoa; Anthoathecata; Hydridae
Source: RefSeq, a predicted model, not a curated record
UUAGCGAAUAGCGCUUUCUUAGGUACAGUGAAUUUUCACUGUAUUUAGCGAAAAACGCUACCUUAAGUACAGUGAAUUUUCACUGUAUCUAACACCAAGCAUAUUAUUUUAGAAUUUUUUGUUUUAGACACAUGGCAUUUGCUAUCCUACUGUAAGUUAAAACUAGUUGUAAAAUUAAAAAAAUUUAUAUUGGAACUUCUAUUUCUUUUAACAUUCAUGUUUAUUUAAUUGAGUUACAACUAAGGUUAUAUAUGAAUUAUUUAUACUAUCUUAGAAUUUGCUGCUUUAGAGGCAUGGCAUUUAGUGUCACAUUGUAGGUUUAAAUUGGUUGUAGAAUUUAUAUUGUAACUUGCAUAUUUAUUUAGUUGAGUUUAUAUUUGAUGUGUUAGUAAUAUUUUAGAAUUUACUGUUUUAGACAUGUGGCAUGUGGUAUCCCACUAUUACAACUAAGUUUGUGUAUGGCUUGUUUAUAUUAUUUCAGAAUUUGCUAUUUUAGACACUUGGUAUAAGCUGUCAUACUAAUUUGCUGUUUUAGACACAUGACUUGUGAUAUCCCACUAAUUAGCUAUUUUAAACAUGUGACAAGUGGUAUGACACUCAUAUUCAAGAGUAUUUCUGCAUGGUGCACUCUGACUGUUUACAAUAUUUGCAUACUAAAAUGAGUAAAAGUGACUUCAACAACCAGAAUGUAUUUUUGAUAAAUAUUAGUAAUAACAGCUCAUAUUGAAACGAGAUAUUGUGUGAAGAGGUUUUCAAAGAAGUCGUCAAAGCUUCCAAUUCCCGAGAUAACCGUAAAAGCAUUCCAUACAUGAUUAAAGAAUCGUUUAAAAGUUUGCUUAAUUUCGACAGUGUAAUUUUAAUUACUAUUUUUUUAAAAAUAAACCAAUCAAUUUA